Molecule: ribosomal RNA, 253 nt
Filed under: uncultured bacterium
Lineage: Bacteria
Description: partial 16S ribosomal RNA
Rfam family: Bacterial small subunit ribosomal RNA
Source: RNAcentral
UCCGAAGGGGGCUAGCGUUGUUCGGAAUUACUGGGCGUAAAGCGUAUGCAGGCGGAUCGUUAAGUCGGGGGUGAAAUCCCGAGGCUCAACCUCGGAACUGCCUUCGAUACUGGCGAUCUUGAGUCCGGGAGAGGUGAGUGGAACUCCGAGUGUAGAGGUGAAAUUCGUAGAUAUUCGGAAGAACACCAGUGGCGAAGGCGGCUCACUGGCCCGGUACUGACGCUGAGAUACGAAAGCGUGGGGAGCAAACAGG